RNAcentral lists this ribosomal RNA (484 nucleotides) under uncultured bacterium. Its description in RNAcentral is "partial 16S ribosomal RNA". It matches the Rfam family "Bacterial small subunit ribosomal RNA", at positions 29 to 507 of the family's 1533-position model. The record is from RNAcentral.
AGUGAACGCUGGCGGCAGGCCUAACACAUGCAAGUCGAGCGGCAGCGCGGGGGCAACCCUGGCGGCGAGCGGCGGACGGGUGAGGAAUUCGUCGGAAUCUGCCUUUUUGUGGGGGAUAACGUAGGGAAACUUACGCUAAUACCGCAUACGUCCUACGGGAGAAAGUGGGGGACCGCAAGGCCUCACGCAGAAAGAUGAGCCGACGACCGAUUAGCUAGUUGGUGGGGUAAAGGCCCACCAAGGCGACGAUCGGUAGCUGGUCUGAGAGGAUGAUCAGCCACACUGGGACUGAGACGCGGCCCAGACUCCUACGGGAGGCAGCAGUGGGGAAUAUUGGACAAUGGGCGCAAGCCUGAUCCAGCCAUGCCGCGUGUGUGAAGAAGGCCUUCGGGUUGUAAAGCACUUUUGUCCGGAAAGAAAUCCCUGGAGCUAAUACCUUCGGGGGAUGACGGUACCGGAAGAAUAAGCACCGGCUAACUUCGUA